ACGAACGCUGGCGGCGUGCUUAACCCCUGCAAGUCGAACGGAAAGGCCCUGCUUGCAGGGUACUCGAGUGGCGAACGGGUGAGUAACACGUGGGUGAUCUGCCCUGCACUUCGGGAUAAGCCUGGGAAACUGGGUCUAAUACCGGAUAGGAGCCAUUUUUAGUGUGAUGGUUGGAAAGUUUUUUCGGUGUAGGAUGAGCUCGCGGCCUAUCAGCUUGUUGGUGGGGUAAUGGCCUACCAAGGCGGCGACGGGUAGCCGGCCUGAGAGGGUGGACGGCCACAUUGGGACUGAGAUACGGCCCAGACUCCUACGGGAGGCAGCAGUGGGGAAUAUUGCACAAUGGGCGCAAGCCUGAUGCAGCGACGCCGCGUGGGGGAUGACGGCCUUCGGGUUGUAAACUCCUUUCGCUAGGGACGAAGCUUUUGUGACGGUACCUAGAUAAGAAGCACCGGCUAACUACGUG
This 463-nucleotide ribosomal RNA is filed under the name uncultured bacterium. RNAcentral describes it as "partial 16S ribosomal RNA". It matches the Rfam family "Bacterial small subunit ribosomal RNA", at positions 29 to 507 of the family's 1533-position model. The record is from RNAcentral.